RNAcentral lists this ribosomal RNA (322 nucleotides) under uncultured Pseudomonadota bacterium. Its description in RNAcentral is "bacterial SSU rRNA". It matches the Rfam family "Bacterial small subunit ribosomal RNA", at positions 30 to 351 of the family's 1533-position model. Lineage: Bacteria; Pseudomonadati; Pseudomonadota. The record is from RNAcentral.
AUUGAACGCUGGCGGUAUGCUUAACACAUGCAAGUCGAACGGUAACAGGCCUUCGGGCGCUGACGAGUGGCGGACGGGUGAGUAACGCGUAGGAAUCUGCCUCAUAGUGGGGGACAACGUGGGGAAACUCACGCUAAUACCGCAUACGCCCUACGGGGGAAAGCGGGGAGUCUUCGGACCUCGCGCUAUGAGAUGAGCCUGCGUUAGAUUAGCUAGUUGGUAGGGUAAAGGCCUACCAAGGCGACGAUCUAUAGCUGGUCUGAGAGGACGAUCAGCCACACUGGGACUGAGACACGGCCCAGACACCCUUACGGGGAGGCAG